UAGUACAAGAGUGAAACAUGCCCAUAAAGUAUUAGAGUAGCUAAGCGUUUUCUUUUGAUCAAGCUUUCAGCUUUAAAAGGGCAGUCCACCAGGGCUGGUAAAACAGGCACUGCUCCCAUCAAAAGGAUGUCUCAACUGGCUCUUUUUGCCAUAACUGAGCAGUAAGGAGGGGGAAACAGCUUUGAGCUUUUUCGUUACUCCUUGUGUAGCUUAGGUUUGCUCAGCCAUCUAACGCUUCAGUAUUUUUCUGUGCGGUACAUUCCUAUCACCUCAGGCAGAGCAGACCUGGGAGCAGCAGCGACAUUUUUCUUUAUCUGUGUAUAGGAAAAAAUGCAGAAAGUAUGCACGAAGCAAUGGCAAUUGUUUCCAUAAUCAUGAUAAAAAAAACUAAAAGUUGAAGGCAAAGGGUACAUUUAUACUGCCGCUGAAAUUCACAGUGUAGCUGGGAAGCCGGCGCCGACGAUUAAGGCGUUCAUUAAUGCCCUCUGCUGUCUGCCUGAGCGAAUUUCAGUGAACAUCGCCUGCCUCUCCCCAGGAGAAGCGUCUCUUUAGAAAGCUGUUUAGGAUAACAGAGCUUUCCUUCCUUCCUGGAGCAUUUCCCCACCCUCCGGGACCGGCCAGGCCGUGGCUCCAUGACCGCAGGCCGCAGGCCACAGCCCCCGGCCCGGUGCCGUCCCCGGGCGGCCGCAGGCCUGCUCGGGCCGAGCCGUUCAACACCAGCUGAAGUUGUCCAAAGGUGACAUGAACCUCACUGCUUGCUGAUACAGGAACAAGAUGAACUGGAAACUGCGGACAUUGAGAAAAUGAACUAGCAUCAGAAAAUUAAUUCCUUUGAUCAGAGUGACCUGCUAGAGCAAUGUGAAAGGUACUUAUUCUAAAUUGUGCAUAAGAAUAUUUUUUGUUCCUGCUCAGCUUCUAUUCAGCAACGAAGAUUGAUAAGCUGGAUUUCAUAUUUCCACAAAUAACAUUCCUUUGUGGAUUUUCCUGGGUUACAACGAUGGUAAACUACAACAGUAAACAGUUGUCUUUUGUAGUUAAAGCUGAUUA
RNAcentral lists this long non-coding RNA (1047 nucleotides) under Anser brachyrhynchus (Pink-footed goose). Its description in RNAcentral is "lncRNA (ENSABRG00000008329.1)". Lineage: Eukaryota; Metazoa; Chordata; Aves; Anseriformes; Anatidae. The record is from RNAcentral.